This is a long non-coding RNA of Drosophila mauritiana, 618 nucleotides long. RefSeq lists it as uncharacterized. Lineage: Eukaryota; Metazoa; Arthropoda; Insecta; Diptera; Drosophilidae. The transcript is spliced from 3 exons. The record is from RefSeq and is a predicted model, not a curated record.
CGCUCAGAAUCAUUUGGUUUUUCGCCCAGAAUGCACGUAUUGACGGCCGCUUCUAUCGGGAUCAUUAUCCUGCUGCUCCUUGGACAUAUUUCGGAAAACUUCGUCACUGGAAAACUGAACACCAAUCAAAAAAGGGACACGGCUUAUUCUGAUUUAAACUUAAAUUUUGGUUGGCACAAUAAUCCAUUUUCAAAGAAUAUAGGUUGAUGGAAAUAGAGAUAAGCUGCAAAAAUCAACUUCGCUCAGAAUCAUUUGGUUUUUCGCCCAGAAUGCACGUAUUGACUGCCGUUACAAUCGGGAUCAUUAUCCUGUUGCUCCUUGGACAUAUUUCGGAACAAGUUACCGUACCCCCAUGGCAAUUCAACCCUCAAACAGUAAACAUUAUCAAAGAAAAUGGCACCCCUUAUUCUGGUUUAACCUUCAAUCCAUUUGAAAAAAAUAUAGGUUAUAGGAAAUUGAGCAGGUUCCAGUUAGUGAAAGACUAUUGGCAUUAAACAGGAAGAUAACAUCGAGCGCAAUUAUUGGAGUUAAAUAGACAUCAUCAAGUGUUAAUGUCUGUUUAAAUAUUUAUUAAACAUCGUUUGUAUAAUGCUCAAAAAAUAUUAAAUAUUUAUUAUG